This 207-nucleotide ribosomal RNA is filed under the name uncultured bacterium. RNAcentral's name for it is "partial 16S ribosomal RNA". It matches the Rfam family "Bacterial small subunit ribosomal RNA", at positions 568 to 774 of the family's 1533-position model. The record is from RNAcentral.
CACGUAGGCGGCUUCUUAAGUCAGGGGUGAAAUCCUGGAGCUCAACUCCAGAACUGCCUUUGAUACUGAGAGGCUUGAGUCCGGGAGAGGUGAGUGGAACUGCGAGUGUAGAGGUGAAAUUCGUAGAUAUUCGCAAGAACACCAGUGGCGAAGGCGGCUCACUGGCCCGGUACUGACGCUGAGGUGCGAAAGCGUGGGGAGCAAACA